Molecule: ribosomal RNA, 939 nt
Filed under: Catenula lemnae
Lineage: Eukaryota; Metazoa; Platyhelminthes; Catenulidae
Description: SSU rRNA
Rfam family: Eukaryotic small subunit ribosomal RNA
Source: RNAcentral
UGUCUCAAAGAUUAAGCCAUGCAUGUCUAAGUACACACUUUGGUAAAGUGAAACCGCGAAUGGCUCAUUAAAUCAGCUACAAUUUAUUAGAUCGUACACUGUUACUUGGAUAACUGUGGGAAUUCUAGAGCUAAUACAUGCCGAGAGUCUCUGCUCUUCGGGGCAGAGCGCAGUUAUUAGACCAAAACCAGCCGUAUCUUUCGGGGUAUGCUCUUUUGGUGACUCUGGAUAACCUUCAGCCGAUCGCAUGGCCUCGUGCCGGCGACGUAUCUUUCAAGUGUCUGCCCUAUCAACUUUCGAUGGUACGUGAUAUGCCUACCAUGGUGAUAACGGGUAACGGGGAAUCAGGGUUCGAUUCCGGAGAGGGAGCCUGAGAAAUGGCUACCACAUCCAAGGAUGGCAGCAGGCGCGCAAAUUACCCACUCCCAGCUUGGGGAGGUAGUGACGAAAAAUAACAAUGCGGGACUCUAAGAGGCCCCGUAAUUGGAAUGAGUACACCUUAAAUCGUUUAACGAGUAUCAAUUGGAGGGCAAGUCUGGUGCCAGCAGCCGCGGUAAUUCCAGCUCCAAUAGCGUAUAUUAAAGUUGCUGCAGUUAAAAAGCUCGUAGUUGGAUCUGGGGCUUGAGGUCGCUGUCUAUCGUUUCGGCGAUGACGGUGAUGCUCAGCUCUGCUUGCCGGUGACUGUUGCGGUGUUCUUCAGUGAGCGCUGUAGCAGCACGGCACGUUUACUUUGAAAAAAUUAGAGUGCUCAAAGCGUGCUUGUCGCUUGAAUAAUGUUGCAUGGAAUAAUGGAAUAGGACCUCGGUUCUAUUUUGUUGGUUUUCGGAGCUUGAGGUAAUGAUUAAGAGGGACGAACGGGGGCAUUCGUAUUGCGGUGUUAGAGGUGAAAUUCUUGGAUCGCCGCAAGACGGACUACUGCGAAAGCAUUUGCCAAGAAAA